RNAcentral lists this ribosomal RNA (253 nucleotides) under uncultured bacterium. RNAcentral's name for it is "partial 16S ribosomal RNA". It matches the Rfam family "Bacterial small subunit ribosomal RNA", at positions 524 to 776 of the family's 1533-position model. The record is from RNAcentral.
UACGUAGGCAGCAAGCGUUGUUCGGAAUUACUGGGCGUAAAGAGUGUGUAGGCGGUGCUCUAAGUUUGGUGUGAAAUCUCCCGGCUCAACUGGGAGGGUGCGCCGAAAACUGGAAUGCUUGAGCGUGGGAGAGGAAAGCGGAAUUCCUGGUGUAGCGGUGAAAUGCGUAGAUAUCAGGAGGAACACCUGCGGUGUAGACGGCUUUCUGGACCAUUGUUGACGCUGAGACACGAAAGCGUGGGUAGCAAACAGG